Molecule: unclassified non-coding RNA, 317 nt
Filed under: uncultured fungus
Lineage: Eukaryota; Fungi
Description: partial contains small subunit ribosomal RNA, internal transcribed spacer 1, and 5.8S ribosomal RNA
Rfam family: Eukaryotic small subunit ribosomal RNA (bases 1-73)
Source: RNAcentral
GCAAACUUGGUCAUUUAGAGGAAGUAAAAGUCGUAACAAGGUUUCCGUAGGUGAACCUGCGGAAGGAUCAUUACUGAAUUCAUGACAAGGUUGUAGCUGGCCCCAUCCGGGCAUGUGCACGCCUUGCUCAUUCCAAUUCUACACACCUCUGUGCACUUCACAUGGGUUGGUUGCGGCUCGUCUUUCGGGAUGGGCUUGACCGCCUGUGGUUUUCUACAAACUUAUAUAGUAAUAGAAUGUAAUCCGCGUAUAAUAACGCAUCUUAUACAACUUUCAGCAACGGAUCUCUUGGCUCUCGCAUCGAUGAAGAACGCAGC